Molecule: ribosomal RNA, 901 nt
Filed under: Nonomuraea sp. NCCP-1339
Lineage: Bacteria; Bacillati; Actinomycetota; Actinomycetes; Streptosporangiales; Streptosporangiaceae
Description: bacterial SSU rRNA
Rfam family: Bacterial small subunit ribosomal RNA
Source: RNAcentral
ACUCGAGCGGCGAACGGGUGAGUAACACGUGAGCAACCUGCCCCUGACUCUGGGAUAAGCCCGGGAAACUGGGUCUAAUACCGGAUAUGACGCGCUCUCGCAUGGGAUGCGUGUGGAAAGUUUUUUCGGUUGGGGAUGGGCUCGCGGCCUAUCAGCUUGUUGGUGGGGUAGUGGCCUACCAAGGCGACGACGGGUAGCCGGCCUGAGAGGGCGACCGGCCACACUGGGACUGAGACACGGCCCAGACUCCUACGGGAGGCAGCAGUGGGGAAUAUUGCGCAAUGGGCGGAAGCCUGACGCAGCGACGCCGCGUGGGGGAUGACGGCCUUCGGGUUGUAAACCUCUUUCAGCAGGGACGAAGUUGACGUGUACCUGCAGAAGAAGCGCCGGCUAACUACGUGCCAGCAGCCGCGGUAAUACGUAGGGCGCAAGCGUUGUCCGGAAUUAUUGGGCGUAAAGAGCUCGUAGGUGGCUGGUCGCGUCUGCCGUGAAAGCCCGCAGCUUAACUGCGGGUCUGCGGUGGAUACGGGCCGGCUAGAGGUAGGUAGGGGCAAGUGGAAUUCCUGGUGUAGCGGUGAAAUGCGCAGAUAUCAGGAGGAACACCGGUGGCGAAGGCGGCUUGCUGGGCCUUACCUGACGCUGAGGAGCGAAAGCGUGGGGGAGCGAACAGGAUUAGAUACCCUGGUAGUCCACGCUGUAAACGUUGGGCGCUAGGUGUGGGGAUCUUCCACGAUCUCCGUGCCGGAGCUAACGCAUUAAGCGCCCCGCCUGGGGGAGUACGGCCGCAAGGCUAAAACUCAAGGAAUUGACGGGGGCCCGCACAAGCGGCGGAGCAUGUUGCUUAAUUCGACGCACGCGAGAACCUUACCAAGGUUUGACAUCACCCGGAAACGCUCAGAGA